UACGUAGGUGGCGAGCGUUGUCCGGCAUUACUGGGUGUAAAGGGCGUGUAGGCGGGAGAGCAAGUUAGAUGUGAAAACCCACGGCUUAACCACGGGACUGCAUCUAAAACUGUUUUUCUUGAGUGAUGGAGAGGAAAGUGGAAUUCCCAGUGUAGCGGUGAAAUGCGUAGAGAUUGGGAGGAACACCAGUGGCGAAGGCGGCUUUCUGGACAUUAACUGACGCUGAGGCGCGAAAGCGUGGGGAGCGAACAGG
RNAcentral lists this ribosomal RNA (253 nucleotides) under uncultured bacterium. RNAcentral describes it as "partial 16S ribosomal RNA". It matches the Rfam family "Bacterial small subunit ribosomal RNA", at positions 524 to 776 of the family's 1533-position model. The record is from RNAcentral.